Sturnus vulgaris (Common starling) is the source of this 300-nucleotide non-coding RNA. NCBI's taxonomy places the organism in Eukaryota, Metazoa, Chordata, Aves, Passeriformes, Sturnidae. The record is from RefSeq and is a predicted model, not a curated record.
CUGCUGGAAGACUAAUAAAUCGUGGCACCACGUUUCCUCAAUGAAUACCUUUGACUGACGUCUUGCUGACUGAUAUUCAUGAAACAAACUGUUCAGCAAAUGUAGGACCGACUGGUGUCCUGUUCCCUCCAGCUCGUCAUCCUCAAAGAAGAUGCUCAUCUCUUUUGAAGAGAUUUCAUGCAUUGUAUGAAGGCUUUCAAAAAUUUGAUGGAACUAUGAACUGAACAGCAACAUGGACAAAUGACACGUGUCCUACAUGGUUUUCGCUGUGAACACAUUGUUACAGUUAUGAUUGCCUAC